This 516-nucleotide ribosomal RNA is filed under the name uncultured bacterium. RNAcentral's name for it is "bacterial SSU rRNA". It matches the Rfam family "Bacterial small subunit ribosomal RNA", at positions 29 to 518 of the family's 1533-position model. The record is from RNAcentral.
ACGAACGCUGGCGGCGUGCCUAAUACAUGCAAGUCGAACGGUCUUUCUAUGGAAGCUUGCUUCCACUGAGAAGAUAGUGGCGAACGGGUGAGUAACACGUGGGUAACCUGCCCAUAAGAGGGGGAUAACAUCCGGAAACGGGUGCUAAUACCGCAUAGUUUUCUUGAUCGCAUGAUUGAGAAAGGAAAGACGGCCUUUGUGCUGUCGCUUAUGGAUGGACCCGCGGCGUAUUAGUUAGUUGGUGAGGUAAUGGCUCACCAAGACGAUGAUACGUAGCCGACCUGAGAGGGUGAUCGGCCACAUUGGGACUGAGACACGGCCCAAACUCCUACGGGAGGCAGCAGUAGGGAAUCUUCCGCAAUGGACGAAAGUCUGACGGAGCAACGCCGCGUGAGUGAAGAAAGGUUUUCGGAUCGUAAAACUCUGUUGUCAGAGAAGAACAAGUUGGAGAGUAACUGCUCCAGCCUUGACGGUAUCUGACCAGAAAGCCACGGCUAACUACGUGCCAGCAGCCGC